Azotobacter vinelandii DJ is the source of this 78-nucleotide non-coding RNA. The record is from Rfam. Lineage: Bacteria; Pseudomonadati; Pseudomonadota; Gammaproteobacteria; Pseudomonadales; Pseudomonadaceae.
UUGAGCCGUAUGAGGGGAAAUUCUCACGUACGGUUCUUAGGGGGGGGAUGGGCCAGCAAUGGCCUGUCCCUACCCGAC